This 253-nucleotide ribosomal RNA is filed under the name uncultured bacterium. Its description in RNAcentral is "partial 16S ribosomal RNA". It matches the Rfam family "Bacterial small subunit ribosomal RNA", at positions 524 to 776 of the family's 1533-position model. The record is from RNAcentral.
UACGUAGGGUGCGAGCGUUGUCCGGAAUUAUUGGGCGUAAAGAGCUUGUAGGCGGUCUGUCGCGUCUGCUGUGAAAAUCCGGGGCUCAACCCCGGACUUGCAGUGGGUACGGGCAGACUAGAGUGCGGUAGGGGAGACUGGAAUUCCUGGUGUAGCGGUGAAAUGCGCAGAUAUCAGGAGGAACACCGGUGGCGAAGGCGGGUCUCUGGGCCGUAACUGACGCUGAGGAGCGAAAGCGUGGGGAGCGAACAGG